UACGGAGGGUGCGAGCGUUAAUCGGAAUUACUGGGCGUAAAGCGCAUGCAGGCGGUUUGUUAAGUCAGAUGUGAAAGCCCGGGGCUCAACCUCGGAACCGCAUUUGAAACUGGCAGGCUAGAGUCUUGUAGAGGGGGGUAGAAUUUCAGGUGUAGCGGUGAAAUGCGUAGAGAUCUGAAGGAAUACCAGUGGCGAAGGCGGCCCCCUGGACAAAGACUGACGCUCAGAUGCGAAAGCGUGGGUAGCAAACAGG
Molecule: ribosomal RNA, 253 nt
Filed under: uncultured bacterium
Lineage: Bacteria
Description: partial 16S ribosomal RNA
Rfam family: Bacterial small subunit ribosomal RNA
Source: RNAcentral